This 23-nucleotide non-coding RNA is filed under the name Cricetulus griseus (Chinese hamster). Lineage: Eukaryota; Metazoa; Chordata; Mammalia; Rodentia; Cricetidae. The record is from RNAcentral.
UUACGGACAAGUGCACAGCGAUU